CAGCAGCCGCGGUAAUACGUAGGGUGCGAGCGCUAAUCGGAAUUACUGGGCGUAAAGCGUGCGCAGGCGGUUAUAUAAGACAGAUGUGAAAUCCCCGGGCUCAACCUGGGACCUGCAUUUGUGACUGUAUAGCUAGAGUACGGUAGAGGGGGAUGGAAUUCCGCGUGUAGCAGUGAAAUGCGUAGAUAUGCGGAGGAACACCGAUGGCGAAGGCAAUCCCCUGGACCUGUACUGACGCUCAUGCACGAAAGCGUGGGGAGCAAACAGGAUUAGAGACCCGUGUAGUCCCUGUCUCUUAUAC
This 301-nucleotide ribosomal RNA is filed under the name uncultured bacterium. RNAcentral's name for it is "partial 16S ribosomal RNA". It matches the Rfam family "Bacterial small subunit ribosomal RNA", at positions 509 to 807 of the family's 1533-position model. The record is from RNAcentral.